Long non-coding RNA from Oreochromis aureus, 815 nucleotides. RefSeq lists it as uncharacterized. The transcript is spliced from 3 exons. Lineage: Eukaryota; Metazoa; Chordata; Actinopteri; Cichliformes; Cichlidae. The record is from RefSeq and is a predicted model, not a curated record.
ACCCAGGCUGUCACCUGAAAGCAUGGAUAGCCAAGCCUCAUCACGGCAGGAACCCUGUUUUGCUGCGCGGCUUACCGCAUAGUGUGGAGCGUUCCUGGCAACUCUACCCCUGUACCGGCCAGACAACCAUCACAGCUGAGUCUGGGCAGAACAUCUCGCUGCCAUGUCAAGUUCCAGCUAAUAAUGAGCAGGUCUUGGCUGUUCAGUGGAGCAGAGCUGACCUGAAGCAAGAGUAUGCCCUUUUGUACAGAGAUGAGGUUUUUGUUCCAGACAACCAGCAUCCAGCUUUUAAGAACCGGGUGGAUCUGCAGGACAGACAGAUGAAGGAUGGAGACGUGUCUUUGAUUCUGAAGAAUGUGACAUUUAACGACACUGGAACAUACGAGUGUCGCAUCUUCAGGAGAGGAACAAACCACAGGAUUAGUACCAUCACCUUGAGUGUUGUUCCUCCAGGUCCACCACAAGGACACACAGCAGACAGAGAGGAGGAGGGUGGAGUCAGCAGAGGACACUUUGGACUGGCAGCUGCUGUUGUUGUUGCUUAUCUAAUCAUCAUUGCUGUGAUGGCUGCUGUUUUGAUCUCCCGUUAAUUGAUAUACGUCUAUAUGGGUGAAUGAGACAUGUUGUAUAAAGUGCUUUGAGUGCUCCAGGAGAGUAGAAAAGCGCUAUAUAAGAAUAAGUCCAUUUACCAUCAUUUACACCAGCAGCACCACCAGCACUGGACUCCCUGUCAGAGCGGUGAAUGUUGUCCAGGAUAAAGACAAUGUUGGAUAAUACCUCCCACCAAUGUUCCCUCUAAGCUGCGCAAUUGCGCA